AGAGGGAGGAAGACCGCAGCCUCUGGAUGCAAGAGGGGCACAGGCGCAGGCUUCACGGGGAGCCUCGGGGAACCUCCACGGCGCUCCCAUCAUGGGAGCUCAGCCCGCCCUCAGGACUCCUGAAUGUACAGCUGGAACACUGAUUUUGAAACCUUUCUUGCCCCCACUUGGCCCCUCAAAGUGCUCCGGAAGAGCCUGUGACUCUCAGAUACGUUCAGGAGUGCACACAAACUGCUCCGUCAGGCGGAGCCGUCUGCUCCGAUCAUCAGCCCGUGAAGAGAGUCUGUGAAGACUCACGAGCACUGCUGGGCUGGCUGCAGGGACUCACCCCGUAAUCACAGUGCUCGAAUAAAGCAGGAGGGCGUCCCGGAGAGCGAGAAUAUCCUGAGACUCCGCGUGUGUGCGGGCAAACCACAUGCCUGGGGAGAGAGGCCGCGAGAGCCGCCCAUGCCUGAACUGAGCCUGUCUCCGGGGCCUUGUGGCUUUUGGUGGAGCAGAGUGAGUUUCAGCGGGAGGCAGGGGGACUCUCCACAUUCCUGAUGGCACAGGUUCUGUCCAGCUUGAGUUGAUGGGGUGACACUGGGUAUCGGAGGAGGGACCCAAGAAGACUGGAGAGUGCGACCUCUCCCACAGAAGUCUCGAGCACAAACAGAGUCAGUUCAAGCUACUUGGGAGACAGAGUCUGCUUCCCCUCUCGAGCAUUUGAAUGCUUCCUGACGUCUGGGUCUGUCCUUGGGAAGUUUCUUGCAGACCUCAAUAUCUCUUGGGUAGUAAGAAAGAGUCACGCAUGUUUCCUGAGCGCCUUCCUGUUCCUGAAAGAUGAAGUCUGCCAGCUCCGUGGGCUGACGAUGUUCACAACCACUGCGGUGGGAGAAGGCCCCCCACUCUCCUGCCCCGGCUUCCUGGGGUUCUCGGGCGCUGACUUCCGAUGAGAUGUGGAGGCUGGAGGCAGGGUUUCCAGGGUGCAGACACACUCCCUGAGCAGCAAGGGGGCCCUGCAGAGCUGGGAAACGCCUCUUUCCCCCUCUUUCCUCCCUC
Molecule: long non-coding RNA, 1038 nt
Organism: Chinchilla lanigera (long-tailed chinchilla)
Lineage: Eukaryota; Metazoa; Chordata; Mammalia; Rodentia; Chinchillidae
Exons: 3
Source: RefSeq, a predicted model, not a curated record